AGCGCAGCUGCAAAUUGCACCAAGGACAGCCAAUGACAUGGUGUAUAAAUGAACUUUGUACGAAAGACUGCAACAAAGACUACCAAGAACGUCGUGUCAAGAAGGCUUAUUGUACAGGCAUUUACCCCUUCACAAAAGUCUAUUGUGUCUGCAACGUCUGUGACUAGGAGACAAUGCAACAUCGCAUUACGAGGUUCAUUUACACAAAGGAUUAAUGAAGUUUGGCAAAAAUAAAAUUUGUCUGUGUAAACGUGUGAACAUGAUUACUGCCUAGUUAAUUUGUAACGUGGUUGUUUUUUGCGUAAACACCAUCAUGUUUUAUUCACAGAUUCCGUGUGCCUUCAUCCGCAGGAAAGAAACCUGGA
This 365-nucleotide long non-coding RNA is filed under the name Hordeum vulgare. Its description in RNAcentral is "long non-coding RNA (HVUL_LNC008247)". Lineage: Eukaryota; Viridiplantae; Streptophyta; Magnoliopsida; Poales; Poaceae. The record is from RNAcentral.